This 267-nucleotide ribosomal RNA is filed under the name uncultured bacterium. Its description in RNAcentral is "partial 16S ribosomal RNA". It matches the Rfam family "Bacterial small subunit ribosomal RNA", at positions 793 to 1055 of the family's 1533-position model. The record is from RNAcentral.
GUCCACGCCGUAAACGAUGAUAACUAGCUGUCCGGGCACUUGGUGCCUGGGUGGCUCAGCUAACGCAUUAAGUUAUCCGCCUGGGGAGUACGGUCGCAAGAUUAAAACUCAAAGGAAUUGACGGGGGCCGUGCACAAGCGGUGGAGCAUGUGGUUUAAUUUCGAAGCAACGCGCAGAACCUUACCAGCCUUUGUACAUCCCGCGCUAUCCUGAGAGAUCAGGGGUUCCCGUUCGGGACGGCGGUGACAGGUGCUGCAUGGCUGUCGU